This 1305-nucleotide long non-coding RNA is filed under the name Marmota monax (woodchuck). The record is from RNAcentral. Lineage: Eukaryota; Metazoa; Chordata; Mammalia; Rodentia; Sciuridae.
AACAAGACAGAGCCCCCAUUGAGUAGUACCAAGUUCUAGAGACUGUAACAGUUUAUUGGUCCAGUCUCCUAUCUAAGUCAAAACCUCAUGGGUUGUUAGCAACAUUUUCAGUGAAAAAUUCCAACCAUUAAGAAUACAACUCAAAUUUGUAGUAUUUGGGAAAAAAUGAAUCCUGUUUGAUUAACUAUCCCAUGGCAAACAUUUUCACAAUAAAACAUUUCAAAGCACAAAAUGAUCCCAUAGUCACAGAAAAAACAACAACAACCACAUGUGAGUAAUUCUUGAAGAAUUCAAAAGACUGUAAAUCAAAACCACAACCAACAGCAAAAAACCCUUUACAACCUCACUAAACAAAUCUACAUUCAACAUCGGUUCUGCUUUAUAAAAAUAAAACACAUUUAAGAACCCACUUUUUCAUUUAAUACAGUUAUUCUUUUAACAAUGACCCUAUUUUAUAAUGGAGAAAAACAACAAAUUAGGCAAAAAUUAACUUCUCCUUUCCCAACAAGUAGAUCUGAAGAUGAGACUUUUCUCUCUCGUUUAGGAUGAUUGAGAUGUUCAUCUAAGGAGAUGGUCAAGCACCCCCCAAAAUAUCUAAGACUGAGAAAUAAAAGAUGAGAUUUAGAAAUGCAGUGUAAUCUUGCUCUCAAGGAACAACCUCCAGCUAUGUGAGAUCAUUCUAGGAAUUUAGGGUUUGAAUUGUUUAUGUUCCUGGCUCGUUCACAAAGGAAAAACAAACAAGGCACAAUGAGCAGUACAACACCUGUCCAGCCCCAGGUUGAGCUCUCCAAUGUCCUGGUCUAGGGGUCAGUCCAGCCGUUACCACCUGUCCCCAUGACCCAGACCACCGGGCAUUAGAAGAUGAGUUGCCAAGAAAACGAAGGGAUGAAGAUCAGAGGCCUCCAACUGACUGUCAAUUCCUCCCAAAGUCUCUGUAUUUUCAAACAUCAUAUAAGUAGAUGGCUUUGGAGCAUCUUCAAGAAAAUGUCAAUGAGAAGCUAAGCAGGCUUCUGUCCUGAUGGACCCUUAUAAAACGAUGCAGAAGCAGAGCAGAGCGCAAGAGACAGCUCUCCUGUAAAACGGCAGGCUCCAGGAAACUCAUGACAUAGCAAUCACCCAUUUAAGGACCUGGGGUGGUUGGCAAGGGCCACACAGAAUGCAUUGUCCCUGCAUGUCUGUGGGAAAGUCCCCAUACAGAGAAAUGGCCUCUGGGCUCUGGGUUCCAGUGCCAUUUCCUGGUACACUUCCCAGGACUGAUUUUUCAAGGGUCAAACCCUGACUAUUUGGAAACCCUUUUACAUGUUG